Molecule: ribosomal RNA, 571 nt
Filed under: Stenotrophomonas sp. CH80
Lineage: Bacteria; Pseudomonadati; Pseudomonadota; Gammaproteobacteria; Lysobacterales; Lysobacteraceae
Description: bacterial SSU rRNA
Rfam family: Bacterial small subunit ribosomal RNA
Source: RNAcentral
UGCUCUCUGGGUGGCGAGUGGCGGACGGGUGAGGAAUGCAUCGGAAUCUACUCUUUCGUGGGGGAUAACGUAGGGAAACUUACGCUAAUACCGCAUACGACCUACGGGUGAAAGCCGGGGACCUUCGGGCCUGGCGCGAAUGAAUGAGCCGAUGCCCGAUUAGCUAGUUGGCGGGGUAAGAGCCCACCAAGGCGACGAUCGGUAGCUGGUCUGAGAGGAUGAUCAGCCACACUGGAACUGAGACACGGUCCAGACUCCUACGGGAGGCAGCAGUGGGGAAUAUUGGACAAUGGGCGCAAGCCUGAUCCAGCCAUACCGCGUGGGUGAAGAAGGCCUUCGGGUUGUAAAGCCCUUUUGUUGGGAAAGAAAAGCAGCUGGUUAAUACCCGGUUGUUCUGACGGUACCCAAAGAAUAAGCACCGGCUAACUUCGUGCCAGCAGCCGCGGUAAUACGAAGGGUGCAAGCGUUACUCGGAAUUACUGGGCGUAAAGCGUGCGUAGGUGGUUGUUUAAGUCUGUCGUGAAAGCCCCGGGCUCAACCUGGGAAUUGCGAUGGAAACUGGGCGACUAGA